This 253-nucleotide ribosomal RNA is filed under the name uncultured bacterium. Its description in RNAcentral is "partial 16S ribosomal RNA". It matches the Rfam family "Bacterial small subunit ribosomal RNA", at positions 524 to 776 of the family's 1533-position model. The record is from RNAcentral.
GACAGAGGGUGCAAACGUUGCUCGGAAUCACUGGGCGUAAAGGGCGUGUAGGCGGGUGGAUAAGUCAGACGUGAAAUCCCCAGGCUCAACCUGGGAAUUGCAUUUGAAACUGUCCAUUUUGAGUGUCGGAGAGGAAAGCGGAAUUCCUGGUGUAGAGGUGAAAUUCGUAGAUAUCAGGAGGAACACCGGUGGCGAAGGCGGCUUUCUGGACGACAACUGACGCUGAGACGCGAAAGCGUGGGGAGCGAACAGG